GUGUACAGCUGCAUGACCUGACAAGUUGGGAAUUACUAACUGAAAGUUUGGGAUUGUUCUGGUUCAGAGUGUUUGUUGGCGAUAAGUCUCAUGAUGAAUCGAAUGGAGAAACUGCGGUUGGAAAUAAAGGCUGAGUUCUUGGAGCUCCUUGUCUUGCUGGUUCUGGCUGUAAGUUGUUGUGCUCUGGACAUGCUCUUACACGCUCACAAACGCUUCCUGCAGGUUGUUGGCAUCCAAGCCGACCAUCGAGACAAAAAAAUGACAAUAGAUCAGGUCACAUCAGUUGUCCUGCGUGUUCUUCUUCUUUUCCUUUGCUACAAGAUGACCAACUUCAUCCUUCUGCUGGUCACCUUCUUUCUUAGGUGGCUAGUGAAUGUUAGAGCAGCUUUGUUUGUUCCUGUUUUAAUCCUGAGUGGCCAAAGUGUCAGCUUAGAAGCUAUGUGUACAAUACUGGCGUGUGCAGUGACCAUCUGCAUCCUUCAUUGGAUUUGGAAACGAGAAAGGGACAUGGCCAUGGAUACCCGAGUUAUUCAACUUGAAAAGGAGGUGAAUAUGUUAUAUCAAUGGAGGUGAACAGAUGAAGAAGCAGAUUUGGUAUUUUGUGCUCCUGUCUUAUAGACUUUUGCAUAUUUUGUUUUUAGCGCUCUUAGGGCCUGAUUUACUAAAGGUUUGCGUGUCUUAAAACGUGUGCAAACUUGA
Labrus bergylta (ballan wrasse) is the source of this 699-nucleotide long non-coding RNA. RefSeq lists it as uncharacterized. The record is from RefSeq and is a predicted model, not a curated record. NCBI's taxonomy places the organism in Eukaryota, Metazoa, Chordata, Actinopteri, Labriformes, Labridae.